This 498-nucleotide ribosomal RNA is filed under the name uncultured bacterium. RNAcentral's name for it is "bacterial SSU rRNA". It matches the Rfam family "Bacterial small subunit ribosomal RNA", at positions 56 to 558 of the family's 1533-position model. The record is from RNAcentral.
UGCAAGUCGAGGAGAACCGCAGGGGACACCGGCGAACGGGGUAGGAUCAUCUCGGUGACGUACCCUCCGGACGGGGAGUAGCCACGGGAAACUGUGGGUAAUACCCGAUGACCUGGCAGGCGAUUAGGGCUUGUCAGCAAAGGUGAGAUUCCACCGGAGGAGCGGCUGAGACGCUAUUAGCUUGUUGGUGAGGUAAUGGCUUACCAAGGCGACGAUGGCUAGGGGGUGUGAGAGCAUGGCCCCCACCACUGGCACUGAGACACUGGCCAGACACCUACGGGUGGCUGCAGUCGAGAAUCUUCGGCAAUGGGCGCAAGCCUGACCGAGCGACGCCGCGUGCGGGAUGAAGGUCUUCGGAUUGUAAACCGCUGUCGGAGGGGAUGAAGUGUAUGGGAGCAAUCUCCUGUAUUUGACAGAGCCUCGGAGGAAGCACGGGCUAAGUUCGUGCCAGCAGCCGCGGUAAUACGAACUGUGCAAACGUUAUUCGGAAUCACUGGG